GAUGAAGAACGUAGCGAAAUGCGAUAAGUAAUGUGAAUUGCAGAAUUCAGUGAAUCAUCGAAUCUUUGAACGCACAUUGCGCCCGCCAGUAUUCUGGCGGGCAUGCCUGUUCGAGCGUCAUUUCAACCAUCAAGCCCCCGGGCUUGUGUUGGGGACCUGCGGCUGCCGCAGGCCCUGAAAACCAGUGGCGGGCUCGCUAGUCACUCCGAGCGUAGUAGUUACAUCUCGCUCAGGGCGUGCUGCGGGUUCCGGCCGUUAAAAGCCUUUUACCGCAAGGUUGACCUCGGAUCAGGUAGGAAGACCCGCUGAACUUAAGCAUAUCAAUAAGCGGAGGA
Molecule: unclassified non-coding RNA, 335 nt
Filed under: soil metagenome
Description: partial contains 5.8S ribosomal RNA, internal transcribed spacer 2, and large subunit ribosomal RNA
Rfam family: 5.8S ribosomal RNA (bases 1-120)
Source: RNAcentral